This 73-nucleotide transfer RNA is filed under the name Myotis brandtii (Brandt's bat). It matches the Rfam family "tRNA". Rfam says of the family: Transfer RNA (tRNA) molecules are approximately 80 nucleotides in length. Lineage: Eukaryota; Metazoa; Chordata; Mammalia; Chiroptera; Vespertilionidae. The record is from Rfam by way of RNAcentral.
GCCCGUGUGGCUCAGUGCAUAGAGCGUCAGCCUGCGGACUGAAGGGUCCCGGGUUCAAGUCCGGUCAAGAGCA